UUAAAAAGAUAGAUAAGAGCUAUGUUCUGUUUUAAUCAGCCUGUCGGAUAUUGUAACUAUUAAAAUCUCUUCAAGAAUAAUAAUCAUAACUUAGCAAUUUUACGACUUUGGCGGAUUUCUCGAUCACGUUAAAUUCAGAAUUCUUUUUCAACAAUAACUCAACUGUUAUUUUCGGAAAAAUAAUCAUUAAACGCUCUGUUAAACAGUCAUAAAUAAAGGAAGAUACCAAAAAAAUAGAACAAAAAGAUGCGGAGUUUUAUGAUGCAGUGAAAUAUUAACUCUCAAGGAAAAUAUAUUUUGGAGUACAAUAAAUAUUACAUAAAGACUUUAUAGUCGGCUGAAGAUAAAUACAAGUUCAAGAGUGAAAGGUGAAAGCCUUUCUGGACACCCGAAAUGAUUGCGUGUCAGCGGAAGACAUUUAGGAAAGAAAUUAACACAGCUGAGAGCUAAUACGGAACACAGACACUUUUGAAUACAAGUGUGAUGACCAACUUGAAAUAUUUACCUGGAGUAAAUCUAAAUAAAAAAACAGUAUAACUUAAAUUUUCCAAUUCAAGACAUCAUUACAAGGGACAGUGUGCAGCCAUUUGUCUGGAAUUGGUUGGCCGGAUCUGCAAUUGUUAUCUUUGCCAUUAAGAGUAAAUUUAAGAAAUACUUCGUAUUACACGCUGAGUCAAAAUAUUGUUUCACAACACAUAAAUCAGUGUGUGCUUUGAAAAGCUUAAGUGUCAUUAUGAACAAAGAUAAUAUGUCAUAAGUUUCUUGCAUCCUUCUCUAUGUGCGGGGUGUGAUGUGCUUGCUUAUACGAGUAUAAAAUACCUGCCUGCCAAUAAAAAGAUUAUAAGAACAAGUUGCUCUUUGAGUGUCGUAGAACGAAACAGAAAAAUAAGUUGUAACAAGUUUUCAGUACUCGGGGUGGUAAUGAAACUUAUUUAUCAGUCUUUAUUUCGAAUGUUAACCAACUGAACACUUUCUGAUUGACAUGUGCACGUGAAACGGAUUGACAGGCCCAUGCAAAACGAGUAAAUAUUGUUACUAGAGUCUUCAGAUCUUGAGAAAAAAAUCUUACAUUCUUCUAUCCCCAUUCCAAAGAGAAAAACACAGAUAUUAUGAUUUAUAUACCGUGUGAUGUCUGUAUUUAUGUGUUUUUUUUAUAAUUUGGGCUAUAAUCACCUGGUCUACACAGAACUGAUCUUCUCACUGAAAAGAUAUUAGAAUUAGACACUUCUUAUAAUGUCGUAAAAGAUUAAAGACAUGAGUAUCCGGAAAUAUAUCUUAUCAUAAAGGUGUGUAAACGAACAUUUAUGAUUUUGAUUUGGCGAUUCUGUUUUGUUUGAUAUAAACAUCGAAAGAAAAGGGAAAAUGUAAAAAGUAUAAAGUGAUAUGUUAAGAGUGUGUUUGCCCAGGUGUUUAUCCUUAAAAACAAAGUAUAAAGGUUUUUUAUGAAAUGUACUUGUUUACUGAACAUUGCUAUAUUGAUUACAAAUAAAAUCCCAACCAUGAUUUUC
Molecule: long non-coding RNA, 1508 nt
Organism: Mercenaria mercenaria
Lineage: Eukaryota; Metazoa; Mollusca; Bivalvia; Venerida; Veneridae
Exons: 2
Source: RefSeq, a predicted model, not a curated record